RNAcentral lists this ribosomal RNA (859 nucleotides) under Psathyrella corrugis. Its description in RNAcentral is "partial 25S large subunit ribosomal RNA". It matches the Rfam family "Eukaryotic large subunit ribosomal RNA", at positions 107 to 953 of the family's 3401-position model. Lineage: Eukaryota; Fungi; Basidiomycota; Agaricomycetes; Agaricales; Psathyrellaceae. The record is from RNAcentral.
GCUCAAUUUAAAAUCUGGUGGUCUUUGGCCAUCCGAGUUGUAAUCUAGAGAAGUGUUACCCGCGUCGGACCGUGUACAAGUCUCCUGGAAUGGAGCGUCAUAGAGGGUGAGAAUCCCGUCUUUGACACGGACUACCGAGGCUUUGUGGUGCGCUCUCAACGAGUCGAGUUGUUUGGGAAUGCAGCUCAAAAUGGGUGGUAAAUUCCAUCUAAAGCUAAAUAUUGGCGAGAGACCGAUAGCGAACAAGUACCGUGAGGGAAAGAUGAAAAGAACUUUGGAAAGAGAGUUAAACAGUACGUGAAAUUGCUAAAAGGGAAACGCUUGAAGUCAGUCGCGUUGGCCGGAAAUCAGCCUUGCUUUUGCUGGGUGUACUUUCUGGUUGACGGGCCAGCAUCAGUUUUGACCGGUGGAAAAAGUUCAAGGGAAUGUGGCAUCUUCGGAUGUGUUAUAGCCCUUGGUCGUAUACAUCGGUUGGGACUGAGGAACUCAGCACGCCGAAAGGCCGGGUCUUUGACCACGUUCGUGCUUAGGAUGCUGGCAUAAUGGCUUUAAUCGACCCGUCUUGAAACACGGACCAAGGAGUCUAACAUGCCUGCGAGUGUUUGGGUGGAAAACCCGGACGCGUAAUGAAAGUGAAAGUCGAGAUCCCUGUCAUGGGGAGCAUCGACGCCCGGACCAGAAGUUUUCUGACGGCCCUGCGGUAGAGCAUGUAUGUUGGGACCCGAAAGAUGGUGAACUAUGCCUGAAUAGGGUGAAGCCAGAGGAAACUCUGGUGGAGGCUCGUAGCGAUUCUGACGUGCAAAUCGAUCGUCAAAUUUGGGUAUAGGGGCGAAAGACUAAUCGAACCAUCUAGUAGCUG